GACGAACCGUGCGAGCGUUAUUCGGAAUCACUGGGCUUAAAGCGCGUGUAGGCGGGAGGGCACGUCCGUUGCUGAAAUCCCCCGGCUCAACCGGGGAACGGGCGCGGAUACGACUCUCCUCGAGGGGCGUAGGGGGACCUGGAACUUCCGGUGGAGCGGUGAAAUGCGUUGAGAUCGGAAGGAACGCCCGUGGCGAAAGCGAGGUCCUGGACGCCUACUGACGCUGAGACGCGAAAGCCAGGGGAGCGAACGGG
RNAcentral lists this ribosomal RNA (254 nucleotides) under uncultured bacterium. RNAcentral describes it as "partial 16S ribosomal RNA". It matches the Rfam family "Bacterial small subunit ribosomal RNA", at positions 524 to 776 of the family's 1533-position model. The record is from RNAcentral.